This 515-nucleotide long non-coding RNA is filed under the name Pongo abelii (Sumatran orangutan). RNAcentral's name for it is "lincRNA". The record is from RNAcentral. Lineage: Eukaryota; Metazoa; Chordata; Mammalia; Primates; Hominidae.
UAUAUAUAUAUAUACUAUUUUAUCCAGGAUCCAUCAUUAUUCUCAGUGAGAGUGUUCAACUAGCUACUUCGUCAUUAGUGCAAGCCAGAACAUGUGUUUUGAUUUUUGGAUUUAAUGCAAAUGAAAUUAUAUAGUAUGGAUACUUUUCCAUCAAUUUUUAAUGCAAGAUUAUAUUUGUGAUAUUCAUUUAUGCUGUUGCAGAUAUCUACAGUCUGUUCAUUUUUAAAAGUCCUUUUAUACAUUGUGGUAAAGUAUACAUAAAAUUAACUAUUUUAACAGUUUUUGAUGUGCAGGUCAGAUGAAUUAAUCAUGCUCAGAUUGUUCUGCAACCAUCAUCCAUAUUCAUUGGGAAUUUUAUUCAUUUUGCAAAACUGAAUCUCCGUUUCUGUUAAAAAAAAAAACAAAACAAACAGCUUCCCUUUACCUUCUUUUGGCCCCUGGGAACUACUCUUCUACUUUGAGUUUCUAUGAAUGGAACAUCCAUAAGUACCUCAUAGAGUGAAAUCAUACUGUGU